Non-coding RNA from Cinara cedri, 442 nucleotides. NCBI's taxonomy places the organism in Eukaryota, Metazoa, Arthropoda, Insecta, Hemiptera, Aphididae. The record is from the annotation of a GenBank genome assembly.
AUCAUUAAUGAUAAUUUUAAUAUUACACGUAUAGCCUAUAGAAAUAGUUCGAAAAAAAAUACUUAUAACCUUACUAUAAUAAUAAAUUUAAAAUCUAAAUAUAAUAUAAUGUGUGUGCUUGUGUGUGUACAGUGUGUGUGUGUGUGUGUGUGUGUAUAUUUUGGUGUCAUAGUUGUCUGUUCCAUGUCUUUUGAGAGAUUAAAAUAAUACAAUACAAGUAUACUAUACUAUUUUUGCUUAUUGAUAAUAACAUAGAGAAGCGUUACUUUCGUUUUUGUUUUACGUUCGCGAUACGGCGACGCCGAAACGAUAAUAAUUGCAUGAUUAUCGCGCGCGUCCUGACGUCCCGUCCACAAGUGGCUGCGCAGUUGUUGUCAUUAGUUGGCUGCGGCGGCGGCGGCGGCUGAGGCGAAUCGUAUGACUGACGUCCGCCGGGGCUGCU